Peromyscus eremicus (cactus mouse) is the source of this 2875-nucleotide long non-coding RNA. RefSeq lists it as uncharacterized. Lineage: Eukaryota; Metazoa; Chordata; Mammalia; Rodentia; Cricetidae. The transcript is spliced from 3 exons. The record is from RefSeq and is a predicted model, not a curated record.
UGUUAGCUUCUCUAAAUUAAAUAAUUCUUCAGAAAAAAAUCUUGCCACAGCAAAACUGAGAAUUCCGUUGUGCCUUCCCAAUUACACCAAGAACAGGAAUGUUAGAGAUUAACUAGACACACCUGAUCCCAAGGAUGAAAUGCCUAGAGUUCAGAUCCAGAGCCUGAGGCCAUUAAAGGCAAAAGUUCAGUUUAUAAAUACAGAAUGGUACAGUAUAAUGAGAAAAGAGUAAGCCUGAAAACCCCUGCUGAAGCAAAUCUCCAGCAUGCUUACAUUCCCUACCUCUGUGAAAUCAAUCUUCAUCUCCAUCUCAGUGAAGUCACAAACAUCUGCAUGCAAUCCCCCAUCUCUGUGAAGUCAGAGACUUCUUCCAUCCCCACCUCUGCAAAGUUACAGACAUCUGCUCCCUAUUGUCAUCUCUGUGGAGUCAUAGACUUUUCUUCUAUCCCCAUCUCUAUGAAGAUAUAGAUCUCAGCUUUGAUUCUCCCAUCUCUGUGAUAUCAUAAACUUCUGCUUCCAUUCCCAUAUUUCUCUGAAGUCAUGGAUUUCUGCUACAGUCCCCUAUCUCUGUGAAAUCAUUGACUUUUGCUUCCAAAUCCCAUCUCUGUGAAGUCAUAGACUUCUUCCAUUACCACCUCUAUGAAAUCACAGAUAACUGCUUCCAUCCCCUAUCUCUGUUAAAUCAUAGACCUCUGUUCCAUCCUCAUCUGUGUGAAGUCAUAGACCUCUGCACCCAUUCCUCAUCUCUGGGAAAUCAAAGACACUUGCCUUCAUCCCCCAUCUCUGUUUUUAUCUGUUUCAUUUUCAGCUUCAGGGUCAAAAUGGAGCAAACUGCUUUUUGGUGAGACAGUCACUCUGUUUUGUAGACAUUAUCUCACCAAUAGAUGUUUCAGUAGGUGAAAAAGUCCAGGGAACAAUUUAUUCCUAUCUUUAAAAGCUACAGACAAAACAUACCACGGAAAGAGAAUACACAGGAGACCUUAAGCAAAACAUAAACACCAGAAAACAUAUAAUGCAGAUGGAAGACUGGUAAACAGUGGACUGAAGUGCUGGUUAUUUCCUGUGUUUCCAGUUAGUAUUUAUCAAGAGAGUCCCAUGCAGAGUCUGACAGCUUUGGGUGAUGUUGCUUCCCUCAGAGCACAGCAUGCUCUGUUGAUGCCGCUACAUCUGACCUCAGCAUUCUCAACAGCUGUCAACACUUAUAUCCUGUUUUAAAAAUGGAAACAGAUUCUGAAAACUUAAAUGAUCUGGAACAGCAGCCACUCUUGAGCUACUAUGCUUUUUAUUAAAUUAAUGAAAGGGAUCAAUUAAACAGAAUGCAGAGAAGAGAUCCUUGCACUUUUAGUGACUAUUGGAUUGAGUUCUAUUUUACAAUAUCAUCUAAUUUCAACUCCCUUGAAACAAGAAGAUUGAGAGCUCAGUUAGCCCUUGUCCAAGUUCUUGAAAAGCUGAAGGCACAGCCAGACUGAACCAGGUAGUCCCAGGGAUCCUUCCUGUUUCCUUUUGAAGGCUCAUCUCUACCACCAGGAAUCACUUGUGGCUUUAUUAACAGAGGACUCUGAAGGUAAAUUAAAAAUCAGAUACCUGUGUUUAUGAUGAUAAGGAGAGUUAGAGAUAAUUGAAAUUACAAAUAAGUAAGUGUUUUACACUGUUUAAUCUACAAAGGCAGCUUGCUUUGCGCAUUCUAAGGACAAGUAUGAUACCUCUACCAUAGUGCAUCACAGUCUCCAUCCUGAGACUAGAACAGGGUCUUCUUUCCACAUCAGGUUUGAAGACCUGAAUCUCUCAACCUAUUUUUCCAAACGACAAGUGAUUAGAUAGACACAUACCUCUGUGUCUAUAAAAUUAGAAUCUAGACACAGGGUGUCCUCGUUUUGUUUCAGAAGCAGAUUGGGGGAAGAAAUGUGUUUAUCUGGCUUACAAGUCCUGAUCACAGUCUAUCAUCAAGAGAAAUCAAGGCAGGAAUUCAGCAGGAGCUGAGGCAGUUGCCAUAAUGGAGCACUGCUUCCUGGCUUGCUCUCCAAGACUUUCUCAGCUUGCUGUUAUAUAGCACCUGGCACCACCUGUCUGGGGGUAGUACCACCCACAGUAGGCUAGCUCCUUCCACAUUGGUUUUUAAUCAAGAAUAUGCUGAGUAGACAUGCCCAAGGCACAAUCUGAUGGAAGUAAUUCCUUAAUUGAGAUUUUUUUGUCAGGUAUAUCUAGGUUCUGGUCAAGCUGACAAAGACUAACCAGUACACAGAAUUUCUGUUAUGGCAGUUCAUAUAAAUCUCCUAUAAACUCUGGAGAAGGCUUCCAUUCAAUGUUGCAGGACUGUAAGCACUGCUAUUCUUCACGCCCUUAUUGAGAGGGCCCACCAGUAAAGUGAGAGACAUGGGGGCUGUCAUGGAACCAGCCUUCUCAAUGCUCUCUCUGCACCAGCCCAACAAUAAAGUCUAAGUUUGGGAUUUGAACAACUUUACACUUUUCGUUUCAACCCACCCAUCAUUAAAGACGUAGAUUGUCCUUUUACUUCUAUCACAUAAGUUACUAAGAAAAAAAAUGAUGGAGAAACAUGGAAACUUAGACACAGUCUCUUACUCUGCAAUCAUUCAAAAUCUGACCUGCAGAUUAGUAAUCUUCCACAAGUCAGAAAACAGAUAUUUAUUCCUAGGCAUAAGUUAGAUACACCAUUUUCAAAUAUAAUGUCAAAUACAACACCAGCAAAAUAUGAAAAGUUAAACCACUUCCAACAUUUUGUGGGAAAAUAUGAAUUAGCUAAACUUUCUGUGCUGUUAUUAUUUACAAGAAAUGGAGUAAAAUGUUAGGAUUUUGUAAAGUAAUUUUUUCCAUAUACAACUAAGAAAAAAAUAAACUGAGCUGAUAAAAAUGGAAA